UCUUGAUAUGGGUGCAUCUUGCUCAUGAAACAUAAAUCCGAAUCAGUUGAACUAUUCAAAUGAUUUCAUAAUGUGGUAGAAAAAUAAAUUGCAAAGAGUAUUAGAACUCAUCAGUUAGACUGAUGAAGUGAAUACCUUUACAGUAAAUUUUUGACAUAUCUAAAAAAAAAUUGAAUUUUCUCUCAAUGGAUCUCUCUUAGGACACCACAGUUUAAAAUGAUAUAUGAAAAGAGAAAUCGAAUUUUGUUAAACAUGAUUCGAUCCAUUGUGGAUUUGCUAGUCUGUCUGAGGUUAUAUUUUAGAGACUACUUGAUAUGUACUCCAGAAUAUUUUGAGCAAAUCUAUC
RNAcentral lists this long non-coding RNA (346 nucleotides) under Elaeis guineensis (African oil palm). RNAcentral's name for it is "long non-coding RNA (EGUI_LNC053329)". Lineage: Eukaryota; Viridiplantae; Streptophyta; Magnoliopsida; Arecales; Arecaceae. The record is from RNAcentral.